CUUGGUCAUUUAGAGGAAGUAAAAGUCGUAACAAGGUUUCCGUAGGUGAACCUGCGGAAGGAUCAUUAUUGAAUAAACUUGGUUGGGUUGUUGCUGGCUUUUCGGAGCAUGUGCACGCCUAGCGCCAUUUUUUACCACCUGUGCACUUCUUGUAGAUUUGAAACACCCUCUCGAGGAAACUCGGUUUGAGGAUUGCUAAUGCGUAAAGCUAGGCUUUCCUUGCGUUUCAAGUCUAUGUUUUUAUAUACCCCAUAAGAAUGUUUUAGAAUGUCAUUAAUGGGCUUAAUUGCCUCUAAAUUAAUACAACUUUCAACAACGGAUCUCUUGGCUCUCGCAUCGAUGAAGAACGCAGCGAAAUGCGAUAAGUAAUGUGAAUUGCAGAAUUCAGUGAAUCAUCGAAUCUUUGAACGCACCUUGCGCUCCUUGGUAUUCCGAGGAGCAUGCCUGUUUGAGUGUCAUUAAAUUCUCAACCCUUUCAGCUUUUGCGAGCUGAAUUGGCUUGGAUGUGGGGGGUUUUUGCGGGCUUCUCAAGAAGUCGGCUCCUCUUAAAUGCAUUAGCGGAACCUUUGUGGACCAGCUUUGGUGUGAUAAUUAUCUACGCCAUGGUUGUGAAGCAGCUUUUAACUUGGGGUUCAGCUUUCUAACCGUCCUUUAACUUGGACAAUUUAUGACAUUUUGACCUCAAAUCAGGUA
RNAcentral lists this ribosomal RNA (693 nucleotides) under Collybia rivulosa. RNAcentral's name for it is "eukaryotic LSU rRNA". The stretch from base 305 to 458 matches the Rfam family "5.8S ribosomal RNA". Lineage: Eukaryota; Fungi; Basidiomycota; Agaricomycetes; Agaricales; Clitocybaceae. The record is from RNAcentral.